CAGCCGCCACGGUAAUACAGAGGGUGCAAGCGUUAAUCGGAUUUACUGGGCGUAAAGGGCGCGUAGGUGGUUAUUUAAGUGAGAUGUGAAAGCCCCGGGCUUAACCUGGGAACUGCAUCCUACACUGGGUAACUGGAGUGCAGUAGAGGGUAGUGGAAUUUCCGGUGUAGCGGUGAAAUGCGUAGAUAUCGGAAGGAACACCAGUGGCGAAGGCGGCUACCUGGACUGAGACUGACACUGAGGCGCGAGAGCGUGGGGAGCAAACAGGAUUAGAUACCCCAGUAGUCCCUGUCUCUUAUAC
This 301-nucleotide ribosomal RNA is filed under the name uncultured bacterium. Its description in RNAcentral is "partial 16S ribosomal RNA". It matches the Rfam family "Bacterial small subunit ribosomal RNA", at positions 509 to 807 of the family's 1533-position model. The record is from RNAcentral.